GUGGCAGUGCUGUCCGCUUUGUAAGCGGAUGAUUCUGGGUUCGAUUCCCAUCUGCUGCA
Molecule: transfer RNA, 59 nt
Filed under: Culex quinquefasciatus (southern house mosquito)
Lineage: Eukaryota; Metazoa; Arthropoda; Insecta; Diptera; Culicidae
Source: Rfam by way of RNAcentral